AACGAACGCUGGCGGCGCGUCUUAAACAUGCAAGUCGAACGGCAGGAAGGGGCUUGCCCCUUCUGAGAGUGGCGGACUGGUGAGUAACACGUGGGUGACAUACCUUUUAGUUGGGGAUAGCUAUUAGAAAUAGUAGGUAAUACCGAAUGUGACCGUACCUGUUAGAGGGGUACGAGGAAAGGAGCUAAGGCUUCGCUAAAAGAAUGGCUCGCGGCCCAUUAUGCUCGUUGGUGAGAUAACGGCCCACCAAGGCGAUGAUGGGUAUCCGGCCUGAGAGGGUGAACGGACACAUUGGGACUGAGAUACGGCCCAGACUUCUACGGGAGGCAGCAGUUAAGAAUAUUCCGCAAUGGACGAAAGUCUGACGGAGCGACGCCGCGUGGAUGAAGAAUGCCGAAAGGUUGUAAAAUCCUUUUAAGCCUGAUGAAUAAGCACAGUAGGGAAUGAUUGUGCGGUGACCGUAGGGCUUGAAUAAGCACCGGCUAAUUACGUG
This 493-nucleotide ribosomal RNA is filed under the name uncultured bacterium. RNAcentral's name for it is "partial 16S ribosomal RNA". It matches the Rfam family "Bacterial small subunit ribosomal RNA", at positions 29 to 507 of the family's 1533-position model. The record is from RNAcentral.